UGCAGUCGACGGAAGGCCCUUCGGGGUACUCGAGUGGCGAACGGGUGAGUAACACGUGGGUGAUCUGCCCUGCACUUUGGGAUAAGCCUGGGAAACUGGGUCUAAUACCGAAUAGGACCACGCGCUUCAUGGUGUGUGGUGGAAAGCUUUUGCGGUGUGGGAUGGGCCCGCGGCCUAUCAGCUUGUUGGUGGGGUAAUGGCCUACCAAGGCGACGACGGGUAGCCGGCCUGAGAGGGUGACCGGCCACACUGGGACUGAGAUACGGCCCAGACUCCUACGGGAGGCAGCAGUGGGGAAUAUUGCACAAUGGGCGCAAGCCUGAUGCAGCGACGCCGCGUGAGGGAUGACGGCCUUCGGGUUGUAAACCUCUUUCAAUAGGGACGAAGCGCAAGUGACGGUACCUAUAGAAGAAGCACCGGCCAACUACGUGCCAGCAGCCGCGGUAAUACGUAGGGUGCGAGCGUUGUCCGGAAUUACUGGGCGUAAAGAGCUCGUAGGUGGUUUGUCGCGUUGUUCGUGAAAACUCACAGCUUAACUGUGGGCGUGCGGGCGAUACGGGCAGACUAGAGUACUGCAGGGGAGACUGGAAUUCCUGGUGUAGCGGUGGAAUGCGCAGAUAUCAGGAGGAACACCGGUGGCGAAGGCGGGUCUCUGGGCAGUAACUGACGCUGAGGAGCGAAAGCGUGGGGAGCGAACAGGAUUAGAUACCCUGGUAGUCCACGCCGUAAACGGUGGGUACUAGGUGUGGGUUCCUUCCUUGGGAUCCGUGCCGUAGCUAACGCAUUAAGUACCCCGCCUGGGGAGUACGGCCGCAAGGCUAAAACUCAAAGGAAUUGACGGGGGCCCGCACAAGCGGCGGAGCAUGUGGAUUAAUUCGAUGCAACGCGAAGAACCUUACCUGGGUUUGACAUGCACAGGACGCCGGCAGAGAUGUCGGUUCCCUUGUGGCCUGUGUGCAGGUGGUGCAUGGCUGUCGUCAGCUCGUGUCGUGAGAUGUUGGGUUAAGUCCCGCAACGAGCGCAACCCUUGUCCUAUGUUGCCAGCGGGUUAUGCCGGGGACUCGUAGGAGACUGCCGGGGUCAACUCGGAGGAAGGUGGGGAUGACGUCAAGUCAUCAUGCCCCUUAUGUCCAGGGCUUCACACAUGCUACAAUGGCCGGUACAAAGGGCUGCGAUGCCGUGAGGUGGAGCGAWUCYUUWMAAAGCCGGUCUYAGUUCGGAUCGGGRUCYGCAACYCGACCMCGUGAAGUCSKAGUMGCUMGUAAUCGCAGAUCAGCAACGCUGCGGUGAAUACGUUCCCGGGCCUUGUACACAYCGCCCRUCACGUCAUGAAAGUCGGUAACACCCGAAGCCGG
Molecule: ribosomal RNA, 1355 nt
Filed under: Mycolicibacterium mucogenicum
Lineage: Bacteria; Bacillati; Actinomycetota; Actinomycetes; Mycobacteriales; Mycobacteriaceae
Description: bacterial SSU rRNA
Rfam family: Bacterial small subunit ribosomal RNA
Source: RNAcentral